This 496-nucleotide long non-coding RNA is filed under the name Gallus gallus (chicken). RNAcentral describes it as "lncRNA (ENSGALG00010000209.1)". Lineage: Eukaryota; Metazoa; Chordata; Aves; Galliformes; Phasianidae. The record is from RNAcentral.
GUGUAAUUGGAGAGAAAAAUGGGAUUUGUUGGGAUUUGGGUCAUGGAAUUCGGGAGAAAUGGGUUUUGGUGGGAUUUGGGUCAUAAACUGGGGAUAAAAAUAGGAUUUGUUGGGAUUUGGGUCGUUGAAUUGGAGAGAAGAUGGGAUUUGGUGGGAUUUGGGUCAUAUACUGGGGAGAAAAAUGGGAUUUGUUGGGAUUUGGGUUGUAGAAUUGGGGAGAAAAAUGGGAUUUGGUGGGAUUUGGGUCUUAAACUGGGGAUAAAAUGGGAUUUGGUUCGAUUUGGGUCAUAUACUGGGGAGAAAAAUGGGAUUUGUUGGGAUUUGGGUCGUAGAAUUGGGGAGAAAAAUGGGAUUUGUUGGGAUUUGGGUCAUGGAAUUGGGGAGAAAAAUGGGAUUUGUUGGGAUUUGAGUCUUAAACUGGGGAUAAAAUGGGAUUUGGUUCGAUUUGGGUCGUGGAAUUUGGGAGAAAAAUGGGAUUUGGUGGGAUUUGGGUCAU